GAUGAACGCUGGCGGCGUGCCUAAUACAUGCAAGUCGAGCGAACAGACGAGGAGCUUGCUCCUCUGACGUUAGCGGCGGACGGGUGAGUAACACGUGGAUAACCUACCUAUAAGACUGGGAUAACUUCGGGAAACCGGAGCUAAUACCGGAUAAUAUAUUGAACCGCAUGGUUCAAUAGUGAAAGACGGUUUUGCUGUCACUUAUAGAUGGAUCCGCGCCGCAUUAGCUAGUUGGUAAGGUAACGGCUUACCAAGGCGACGAUGCGUAGCCGACCUGAGAGGGUGAUCGGCCACACUGGAACUGAGACACGGUCCAGACUCCUACGGGAGGCAGCAGUAGGGAAUCUUCCGCAAUGGGCGAAAGCCUGACGGAGCAACGCCGCGUGAGUGAUGAAGGUCUUCGGAUCGUAAAACUCUGUUAUUAGGGAAGAACAAGUGUGUAAGUAACUAUGCACGUCUUGACGGUACCUAAUCAGAAAGCCACGGCUAACUACGU
RNAcentral lists this ribosomal RNA (496 nucleotides) under uncultured bacterium. RNAcentral describes it as "partial 16S ribosomal RNA". It matches the Rfam family "Bacterial small subunit ribosomal RNA", at positions 28 to 506 of the family's 1533-position model. The record is from RNAcentral.